RNAcentral lists this ribosomal RNA (253 nucleotides) under uncultured bacterium. Its description in RNAcentral is "partial 16S ribosomal RNA". It matches the Rfam family "Bacterial small subunit ribosomal RNA", at positions 524 to 776 of the family's 1533-position model. The record is from RNAcentral.
UACGUAGGGUGCAAGCGUUAAUCGGAAUUACUGGGCGUAAAGCGUGCGCAGGCGGCUUUGCAAGACAGAUGUGAAAUCCCCAGGCUUAACCUGGGAACUGCGUCUGAUACUGGAUGGCUUGAAUUCGGGAGAGGGAUGCAGAAUUCCAGGUGUAGCGGUGAAAUGCGUAGAUAUCUGGAGGAAUACCGGUGGCGAAGGCGGCAUCCUGGACCGAGAUUGACACUGAUGAGCGAAAGCCAGGGGAGCAAACGGG